Molecule: long non-coding RNA, 13747 nt
Filed under: Cricetulus griseus (Chinese hamster)
Lineage: Eukaryota; Metazoa; Chordata; Mammalia; Rodentia; Cricetidae
Description: lncRNA (ENSCGRG00015038140.1)
Source: RNAcentral
GGCGGAGGCCGCUGCCACGGAACCGGGCGGGAGGCGCACAGCCCGCGGGAGCUGGUUUUCCCGGGAGGGCACGUGACGGGGUUGGCAGCACUCGCGCCCAAGCUGGGGGAGGGGGAAGUGGCGAGCAGGAGGCCGGGGGCGGGCGGCUGGCGCGCUGUGUACUUAGGUCGUGUGCUGGGGCUUUUCUCUCCAGGGAGCCGGCCGAGGGGCGGGGGAGGGGCCACCGCUCCGCCUUCUUCUUUUCGCAAUGUUGACGCAAUCUAUAAAUAGUGGAACAAAAGGACCAACUUCCUCGGAGCUUUGCUGAAACUGCACAAAAAAUCGAGCUGGGGGGUUCCCUGGUCCCCGGCGUUGGGGCGGGGAGCGCUGCGCCGAGGGAGGGGGCGGCGCAGACCGGCCUAGGGGACACCUGGCCGAGCGCAGCUGCCACUCCGCUCGAGCCCUGCGCUCCAGUGUCCCCACUGGCUGGAGAGCUCGCCCCGACCGGGGGUCUUCCUCCGCCGCUGACAGACUUAAGGAGACAAAUGCAUUGGAUUAUCCUGAUUCACCAUGUGUGAGAGGCAUCGGAUUUGGUAGAGAACUUGUGUGUCCCCGGAGUGGUGUCUGAAAGGUGAACAUCUCCACCGCGGCACAAGGGCGACGCUGGCACACACGCACGCGCGAGACUGGAACCGAGGAAGUGGAGAGCCUUGCGCAACGACGAUUCUGCGCAUGUGCCGGGGCAUGGCGGGGGUGGGGGGGGGGUGGGAGUGUAGAAGUUUUCCGCAUGCGCAACAGGGUGAGGUGGGGGGUGCGGCAGAGACAGCUGUGGAGACAGCCCGCGUUCCCGGCAUGCCCCGGGGCGGCGGGGUUGGCUCUAACGAAUUUGAAUGAGGAGCCUCAGCGCUUUCGGCGCCAUUUUCGAGUGAUGCCUGAUCUCAUCAAUCUAGCGGGACGGAAGGGAUAACCUGUCCGAGCGCAGCGCGACGCUAGGAUCGUGCCGAAAAAUCCCCCAAAAAUUAUCAAAAAACAAAAAAAAAAACUUAAAACCGAAGGGCCGUCGACGGAGCUUUCGCCAGAUUUGGCGCAGACGAUUUUAACCUUUAGAAGAGAACCAAUUCUGGAAAACAACCUAAGUUUCUUUGACUGAAUGCUGGCAUAAUGCAUUGGAACACAAUAGAGGAUUAAGGUUUAACAAUGCUAAAAUGAAGAUAUUACUAGAACAGCCCUCUAAAUAGCCCAACAAUUAUUUUUUCUAAAAAUGGUUAAAGAAAUUUUUAAAUAAUAUGGCCAGAAAGAAAAUAGUGACACAUCCCUAUGAUAUCAGAACUCGGGAAGUGGAGGCGAGGAGACCAUCAGGAGUUGAAAGUCAUCCUCAGCUCUAACCCAGCCUAAGCAACAAACCAACAAGAACCAAAAUAAUCUUAGUGCAAUCAUAUUAGGUUGUUACCUGUGAUAUAACAUGUGCUGUUUGUUUGAUCCUUGAUCCAGGGGGUGGUGGGGGACUUGUGUUUUGAGCAAGAAUGGCCCCCAUAGGUUCAUGUGUUUGAAUACUUGGUCCUCACUUGGUGUAACUGUUUGGAAGUAUAGGUGUGGCAUAGGAGGAGGUGUGUUACUAGGGGCCUGGCUUUGAAGUCUGAAACAACACUUCCUGGUUAGCUCCCUCUUUGUCUGCUGCUUACACAUAAAGAUGUGAGUUAUCAGCUGCUGUUCCAGUGCCCUGCCAGUCUGCUUGCUGUUGUGAUUGUCAUAGACUCUAACCCUCUGAAAUUGUAAGCCACAAAUUAAACACUUUCUUGUAUAAGUUUGUCUUGGUCUUGGUGUCCCUUCAUAGCAGUAGAAAAGCCACUAAGCCCUGGGUGGUGGUGGCACACGCCUUUAAUCCCAGCACUCAGGAGGCAGUGACAGGUGGAUCUCUGAGAGUUCAAGGCUAGCCUGGUCUGUUCUACAAUAUGGGUUUGGGGGCAGGCUCCAAAGCUACAGAGAAACUUGUCUCCAAAAAAAAAAAAAAAAAAAAAAAAAAAGAGGGCUAGAAAGAUGGCUCAGGUUAAGAGCACUGGCUGCUCUUCCAGAGGUCCUCAGUUCAAUUCCCAGCAACCACAUGAUGGCUCACAACCAUCUCUAAUGAGAUCCUGGUGCCCUCCUAUGACAAGUGUAUACAUAAUAAACAAAUAAAAAUUUAAAAAAAAGAACCAUCACUAAGUGUUACUUUAAUAGUACUUAACUUUUCAUAGAGAAGAACUAGCCACUAUAUACUAAAAUAUACAUUUAAGCAUAUAUUUUAAAUUUAUUUGUACUUGCUUGGAAAUCUAGAGUUAAUUUCCAUCUUUGUAACUAAUUUUGAGACAAAAAUAGUUAGUAGCGGUAGCAUGAAUUCUAAUUGUUUUUAAUAAUAAAAGCUCAGGGUCAGAUAUUGGAGUUAAAGAUCAGAGAAGCACAAUAGCAAGCUACUAGACAGUUCUUACCUCUACCAAUGCUCAGACCAAAGAGUGAUCCUGUCGUCAGACUACAUCCUCAGACUGCCUAGACUGCACUGUUCUCAGACUGCACCUCUCUCGUCUCCUCCUGCCUAAUAUUCCUCUCUCUGCCCAGCUAUAUCACUCCAGUCUCUACUUCCUUAGUGCUGGGAUUAAAGGCUGGAAUCAAAGGUAUGAGCUAUAUUUCUCUUUUAGACAAAUUCAACCUCAUGUAGCCCAGGGUAGCUUGAACUAAUAGAGAUCCCUCUGCUUCUGUCUCCCAAGUGCUGGGAUUAAAGGUGUGUGCCAUCACUGCCUGGCCCUAUGGCUAACUAGUGUGGCUAGCUUUGCACUCUGAUCUUCAGGCAAGCUUUGUUAGAUCAUGAACAAAAUAUCACCAGAGGUAGCAAAAUUAAAGUUACACCCAUUUAUAUUAAUAAUAUAGUCAUCUUUCAAAAAAGAAAUAAUUACAUAUAGGUAUUUUGUGCUCUGAGGUUUUGCACACACAAGUUUACAAGUUAACUCUAUUUAAAAAUUUUUUUGUUUGUUUGGGUUUUUUUUUUCCUCUUUUGUAGAGGGAUACUAUUCCCCUUGUGGAAAACUUUUUUUUUUUUAAUUGUUGUUUCAUUAAAUAGAGAAAAAGGGAAGAAAAUAGUGUCCUAAUUUUUUUUCAGGUAGAUUUAGCUACUUAUAUAUUUUGGAGAACAAAUGAAUGACCAUCAAUACAUUCCAUCUACCAAAGGGUUAGGGGAUAGCUUAGAACAUGUUUGUUUCUAAUACCUUAAACCCUUUAUAAUACACAGAUUGCUCCUCCAUCAAAAACUUAAGGGAUUGUGUUCUUACCUUAUAUAUUUAUAAAAUAUAUCGCAGGCAUUUCACUUUUCUCUGUUCUUUUUCCUUGUUUGUUUGUCUGUUUGCUUGUUCUGGUGCUUGGGAGUUGAACUCAGGACCUCCAAAAGGGCUCUACUACUAAAACAUCCCAGUACCAAAAAAGAAAACUAUUGAAACUAUUUUUUAAAUUUAUUUAUUAUGUAUACAACAUUCUGCCUCCAUGUAUGCCUGUGUGCCAGAAAAGGGCACCAGAUCUCACUAUGGAUGGUUGUGAACCACCAUGUGGUUGCUGGGAAUUGAACUCAGGACCUCUGGAAGAGCAGCCAGUGCUCUUAAUCUCUGAGCCAUCUCUCCAGCCCUAUUGAAGCUAUUUUUGUGCUAAGUUUUCCUCAGCCUUAAAUUAUUAAUGUGUCCUAAGGAUCAUCCUUUAAUGAGGUUUCUUCCCACUCCCCCAUUUGCCUUUGGUGAUUCUAUUAAAUAAUACCUCUAGAAAAUUACAGUUUCAUUUACUUAGUCAUUUAGUCUUAUAUUUAGGAAUGCUUAUAUGUAAACUUUACAUAUGCAAAGUUUAAAAUGCCAUUUUUGUGUGAAUCAAUGAAGUCUAGUAUGCUAAAAUAUGGAGAAAUUUUAAAUUGUUUCUUUAGAGAAUUUGUGAAUUUUAAUAAUUAUAAGUUUUUAUGUUGAUUUUUUUUGUAUUUUCAUUCGUGGAGGUAUAAAAAUGUUAAAUGUUUAUCAAAUAGCACUAAAAAUGUAUUUGAAACCAGAUGUGGUAUCCACAUGUAUUCCCAGCUUUGUCUCAUUAAGCCAAAAAAAAAAAAAUAGCCAGGCAUGGUUGCACACACCUUUAAAGUUGGCUCUCAAGGCACAAGUAGAAUUCUGUGAGUUCAAAUACAGCCUAGGUGGUAUAGUGAGAUUUAUGUACUGAGAUAUAAACGAAGAUCAUCACAAAACCAGAUAAAAUCCCUUGCUUUCAUGGAGUUUUACAGUGCUAGUGGAUAGUGGAUGAAAACUGGGAUGAAGAAAAAAAAUGACAAUUCAGUGUUCUGUGGAAAAAGUGAAGUAGGCAAGCUAGAAGUGGUAUAAUUACUGUUAUUUCGAGGUAUAUUUUCAAAUAUACUUUUAAAAGUAUGCUUGAGGGAUGCCUCCUACAGGUGAUAUUUGAGAAUUGAACUCAGGAUCUCUGGAAGAGCAAUCAAGUGCUCUUAACCUCUGAGCCACCUCUCCAGCCCUGACAUUUGAAUAGUAAAACCAUAUAAGAUAUCCCGGAAAAGAGCCUCUGAGUAGUUGAAAUAGCAAAUGUAAAGCUUUUUGAAACUAACACAUUUGUGGUGUGUACAUGAACAGAAGAAUAUAUAAGACAAAAUGGAGAGUUAUAAUUAACAAGCAUUUUAGAAGUUGGGACUGGUGCGAUGGUUCUGUUACUAAAGCUUCCUGCAAAGCCGAGCCUGAUAGACCUGAGUGAGUUCAGUUCCCAGGACCUACCUUCUAGGUAGAAAAAGAACAAACAAGUCACCUGGCCACAUUCAAACUAUGGCCUGCAUGUGCCCCCACCACAUACUCAUAAAAUAAAACUUGUGAUAUAUUUAGAAGUCUGGUGUCACAGUAGUUGGAAGUUUUUAGCUUAAUAGAAAAUUCAGCUUUUAGUAAUACAACCUAGACAAUUGUGUUUGCCCCAGCCUGUUUGGAUUUUGCAGAUGGAAGAGAAUGUUUUUUGUUUGCUUGUUUUGUUUUAUACAUUUUAUGUGCAUUGGUGUUUUUGCUUGCUUGCAUGUAUGUGAGUGUGAGGGUGUCAGAUCCCCUGGAACUGGAGUUACAGUUUUGAGCAGGCAUGUGGUUGCUGGGAAUUGAACCUAGGUCCUCUGGAAGAGCAGCCAUUGCUCUUAACUGCUGAGCAAGGAGAGAAUGUUUUUAUUCUGACUCAAGAAUUUCUGUCUUAGCCGGGCGUUGGUGGCGUCCCCUCUGUCUAAGACCAGUAAGAGAAGAGGGUUGGUAUUUAAAUGGGUGAUUAAUCAGGUUUUUAUUAACAGUACUUUGUUGGCUCUCAAAUUGUUUUCUUCUUCAUCAGUUUAGCAACAGUCAAAGUAAAUGGUUCCAAGAAACAUUAAAUUUGUUCAUGUUUAUCAACAGCCAAAAUUUAUUCAUGUUUGUAGUCACCUUUGAUUCCUCCAAUAUUGGAAUUGCUGUUGUAGUUAAGUUCCUGGUUAUUUCUCACCCCCUUUUCAGCAGCAUCUUAACCAAGUAUUUCUUUGCAUCUAUUUUAAUCUAAAAAAAUUUAUCAUCUCCAAUAUAUACCACUGAUUUGAUUUUUCUAAAACACUGCUCUUUCCUACAAAGUGGAAUUCAAAGUCUACAUCAUGAUCUUGCGUCACCCUAAGUUGUUACAUUUUUUUCCUCAGAUGAUUAAUUCUAAGCUUUUUACUUUUAAAGCUCCCCCUCUCCCUCUCAUUAUGUGUGGGCAUGUAUACCACAGCAUCUAUGUGGACAUCAGGGGACAAACUUUGUGCCAUCAGCUCACUCCUUCAGUGUUUACAGAAGUUCCAGGGAUCAAACUCGGGUCACCAAGGUCAUACAGCAAAUACGUUUACUAGAUAUGCCAUCUUGCUAGUCUCCUGUCUGGUACAUUUUAAAAUUUAAGCCAACUCUCUUGUGUCUGUCCAAGUAUUUCUUUUAUUACCAUGCUGUUAACUAUUACUCUCACGGACUGAACAAAUUGCUAUCUGAAUGUGUGGUGGGUUAGGUUUGGUGUUGAGACAGGAUUUUGCUCUGUUGACCAGAUAGCUCUCUAAAUUGCAGUCCUCCAGAGUCAGCCUCUGAGUGAAUAGAUGGAAUCACAGGAGAGUGCCAUCUUGCUAGCUUUAUAUAAUUCUUAAACCUUUUUCCUUACCUUAAUGCAUCUGAGAAUUACAGCAUUUCUGUCAAUAUUUACACCUCCUUUACUUACAUGUAUUACUCUUUUAAAGACAUGAGCAAUAUAAAUGAAAUUUUUUAACUUUAAGGUACAAAAUUAAUACAUCAAGAAAUGUAAAACACUAGCAUAAACAUUAAAUCCUAACAGUCAAUCUAUUUUAACAAGUGAGAUAGCUAAUGUUUAUUUCUCGGAUAGUUAUCAACCAGCUAUGGUAGUAUAGUUUUCGAAUUUUAGCUAAGUAAAUAAGUUAUCUCAAGUGAUUCCUGUGUGUUUGUUUUGUUUUAAUGGAACAAUUGGAAACAUCUGUAAAGUUAUUCGUAUCAAGUUAGUUAACAUACUGUGCACCUUUUUAAAGUACAGGUAAAUAAAUGAACAAAUUGUUGGUAAAUUAAGACUAUGAAACAGUAGAUACAGAUUCAUUAAGUUUAUCACUGGUUUACUAUGGGUAAGAGAAUUUUUUAUUAGGAGUGAAAAGGGUCUUAUUUUUAUAAAUAGUAUAUGUUUCAUUUUUGAAAGGAAGAGAGAAAUCCUUGAAACUUUAAAAAAUCCUUUGAGAUUAGCUCCCAGCCUGCUGCGAGUGCGUUGGUGAGGCAGCCUGCUCUUUUCCAUCAUGCCAAGCCCGCCGAAGAGUCACCGUGAGCAAGGCCUGCCCUCCCGAACUGAAGAAAUGUAUGGACAAGAAGUUAUCAUUGAAGUUAAAUGGUGGCAGACACAUACAAGCAAUACUAUGGAGCUUUGAUCCCCUUAUGGAUCUUGUGAUUAAUGAGUGUGUGGAGAUAGAUGGCAACUAGUGGGCAACAGCAUCAUCAUGUUAGAAGCCUUGAAGAGUCUAAACAAUGGCUGCUCCACAGAGGAGUUCACAUCCUUCCCCAAAGGACUGUUUGACUGGGGUGUAGAAUUGGGUCAUGUACAUUUUCAUAAGAAACUUUUUGCUAAAAAAACCUUUGUGAUACUCAGAAAAAAACAAUCAUUUGAAGUGUUGUUACCACACAGUCACUCAACUUUGGAAAUUUAUAGAAAGGGAAUUACUGUGGAGGAAUUUUAAGUGAUAAUUAAGAAUUAACUAUCAGAACUAGACAAAUACCUUCAAAGUUAGAUAAUUCUAAAAUUAGCUUUUUUUUUUUUUUCUAAAAGUUCUCAAAGCAUCCUCUUGCUCACAUGCCAGUGAGAAAGUGGGCAAAAGCAACUGAUGCCAAGCCUGACAACCUGAGUUUGAUUUCAGGGAUUCACAGGGUUCUUCUCUAACCUCCACUUUCUCACUUUUAAAAUUUUAAAUUGAAUUUCAAGUUAGAGAAAAGACCCCAAAAGUAAAGUUUUGCAAUCCUUAAUAGCAUAAGUUGUUCAAUUAGUGAUUCUUACUUUCUUAGAAGCCCCCAAAAUUUGUAAGUACUUUGUAGUUUUAUAAAUUAAUAACUUAGCCACCUUGGUGCACAUCUGUAAUCCUAGCAUUUGAAUGUACUUAGCAGGAAGAGCACAGGUUUAAGUUCGGGCUGAGUUCUGAAGAAGGAAAAUACAAUCACUAACUUGUUCUUUCUAGAAAGUGCUCUGUUGGUGUAACUGAAAAGAACUUUGCAAUGGUUUUAAAUACAAUAACUUGUUCUCUCUAGAACUUCUGUUUUAUAACUCAAGAAAACUUUCUUAAGGGUUUUAAAUGCGUGUUGCCAGGUCCAAAAGAAACUGGGCAAAAAAGGCUAGCUGUGGUGCCUAGAGCAUGUUGGGCCUGGAGAGAUGGCUAAGAGGUUAACAGCACUGGCUGCUCUUCCAGAGAUCCUGAGUUCAAUUACCAGCAACCACAUGGCGGCUCACAGCCAUCUAUAGUGAGAUCUGGUGCCCUCUUCUGGAGUGCGGGUAGAACAGUGUAUACAUAAUAAAUAAAUGAAUCUGCACUUACAAAUCAUUUUCUAAAAAAGCUUAAUUGCUGCUUUCAUUCUGCCUUUUAUAGUAAUUCUAUUACUAUGUUAAGUCCUACAUAACCUAUAGAAAUUUUCUUGGGUGUUGAUUCAGAAAGGCUACCUUACCUAUUUUGUAACUACUUUUAAUCCUGUGUAUAUGUCAUAAUAUGAUAAUAUGCUUCUGUAUUGCUCUCCUACUAGCCUGUUAGUGGAAUUAUCUUGAGCCUAGGUGUCUUAGUUCAUUUGAUGAUCAGUGUUGUAAAAAGGGCUUUUAAUUCUGUAUAUUAUCAGAAAAUAUGUUCAUUCUGUUAUUCCAUAGAAUAUAGUGAUAACAGUAUUAGUGUGGCUAGCCAAAUAAAGACAACUUGUUGAUCAGAUUGCCUGAAAAAUAUCUUUUCAGUAAAAUUAUCAGGCCUCGGCUAAGUAAAAUUUAUAGGUGACCAACAUCAUGGUUUAACUGAAAGACAAGAUGAAAUGACAAGCAUGAAACUUGUGGAACAGUAUUUCAUGUAUGGUCUAAGCCUUACAAGGAGUUCUUUAUUUUUCAUAGAAAUAGCAUAGUAGUUGGAUAAAGUUUACAGAACUAAGAGGAUCUAUGACAGUAUGUAUCUAUUUUAAUCCUUCAGAAAAGUGUUGCAGAAUAAAAUGUAUUCCCAGAUGCUCUUUCUAAAAUAUUAAAGCACCUUGAAGAUAAGGAAUGACAGUUUUUCUACCACCUCAAGAUUAAAUGUCUUUAAAGUAUUAAUAUAUUUAAAUAGACUGGAGUUUUUCAUUUCAUCAUGAUUGACUUUGUGGUUUCUCUAUUAAAAACAGCUUUAAACUCUUGAGUCAAGCUUGCUUAGGCUAAUGAACUUUUUCAUAACAGUGAAACCAGAAAUUCUUUUUGCCUCACCAAGAAACAGUUUUGCAGCAGUACAGUAUGACUCCUUAACACAUUUAUGUUCUUUAUACUGAAUUUUAACCUGCUUGCCCAACCCCAAAGUACCAAGUUUGGCUCUUACAAGCCUUAAUCCGUACAUAUCACUCAUGUUUGCCCUGCAUUUGGAAAUCAUCUCAUUUCUGGACUCUACUUUUUAGGACCCAGCUGUAUAAAUUCACUGAUGCUCUAACCUUACUUUUUUUUAUUUUUCAUUUUGUAAACUUUAUUAUGAAAAAAGGCUCACUCCACUUAUAAAUGAAAUCUCUUGGUUUGAUUUCAUAUCAUGGCCUUUGUUUUCUUUAUAGUUGAUUACUCCCAAAUUAUACUUGUUAUUGUUGUAAUUUAAAGGCAGCUCGAGAGAAAAAGAUUCCAUGCAACAGGGUUCAAAUAGAGGUUUUUUGUUUUUGUUUUUUUUUUUUUUUUUUUAAAUAAGGGAAGGGGAUCAUAAAAGGGGAAAGGGAAGCAGGGGAUACCAGCUUCUGAAGAUAAGAGCAGCAGGACAGAGGAGAAAGAGUGGGAGAGAGAAGUGAACAGACAAGGAAAGGGAGGGGGAUAGGAGGUGGGAAGACCCUUUUAAAAGGGAACAUUGUGAAUAUGCACAGGUGGCUGCAGCCCGGGGUCUAUAUCCUGUCAGAACCCCAAGGCCAGGCCAGUACAGAUGCCUAGAUACUAACAGUUGCAGCUAUCAAGAAAAUAUAUAUUCACCGGGCGUUGGUGGCGCAUGCCUUUAAUCCCAGCACUCGGGAGGCAGAGGCAGGUAGAUCUCUGUGAGUUAGAGACCAGCCUGGUCUACAAGAGCUAGUUCCAGGACAGCCUCCAAAGCCAUAGAGAAACCCGAGUGCUGGGAUUAAAGGUGUGCACCACCACCACCCAGCUGCCAUGGAGAGAUCUUUGUUGAGAAUUCUUUUAUCUAAAAUUACUUUUUGCUGGGUGGUGGUGGUACAGGUCUUUAAUCUGUAAGCAGAGGCAAACCUGGUCUACAAAGCAAGUUCCCGGACAGCUAUGCAGAGAAACCCUGUCUGGGGGGAAAAAAAAAGAAACUAAAUAAAAUUACUUUUUUUAUUUGCAUUUCCAUUUUCUGUUUUUGUUUGUUUCUUUUAGGACCAGGUUUCACUCUAAACUAGGCAAGUCCUGCCCAAGCCUCCUGAGUACAGUGAUUAAUAUUGUAAUCAUUGUAUUAAGAUGAUGUUCUGCUUUGAUUUUCAUGUGUAUAAUAGAUUCACUCUAUAAAUUACUAUAUAGUAAUUUUAACAAUUCUUUAAUGCAUAGGGAAAAUUGAAUAUAUUUUGUAUUUGUUACAUAGCAGAUAUUAAUACCUAAUACUCAAAUGUUUAACUUUAAAAGGCAAGUCAUGAGUUUUGAAAUUGUAUUAGAAGUCAUAACCAUAGCUUUUCAAAUUUACUUUUAUUGGUAUUUUUGCUUUUACUUACUCAUAACUGAAAACAUGAGAUUUCUUACAGAAAUAUUAAAAUGAUUGUUUUAGAUUAAUUUGUUUCAUACUAUUUUGUUUUUUGUUUUUUUUUUUUUUUUUUUUGAGAUAGGGUUUCUCUGUGUAGCUUUGGAGUCCAUCCUGGCACUCAACUCUGUAGACCAAACUGGCCUCGAACUCACAGAGAUUCACCUGCCUCUGCCUCCCGAGUACUGGGAUUAAAGGCGUGUGACACCAACACCCAGCUAUUUCGUACUGUUUUUCAGCCUGUUGUUCCUUUGGGGGGGAAAAGCCAUUCUAGGUUUAGAGAAAACUGGAGUUAAAUUAAUUAAAGAAUCCACAGAAUAAUACGUAAAGUGAAACAAUAGAUGCCCAUUAAAUUUUUUCAAUAAUUCUAUACAUAAGGAUCAGUAAGUUACUUUUCAUUUUUUGUCUUCAUUUUUAAGGUCUCAGAUAAUGUAACUUCCAUUUUCACUCAUCAAUAUGUAUAUUAUUCAUUGAUCUAACAAGUUACUUUGUUCAAAGGCAGUUGUCUUUGUUACUAGUCUCUUUAAUGUCACCAGGAUGUAUUUCAUUAGGAAAGGAAUUGAGCAUGUAUGAGAAGUUUUAAGACUGCACUAAUAAAGAAGGACAUAUCAAAAACAGAUUAAUGGAAUGUAAACUGUUGCUAACUAGUAGCUCAAGGGAAAUCAGAUUUAAACUCAAAUAACUUAAAGCAGGUGGAAGAUAAGCAGUGACUGAAAUGAGACAAUAAUAGGCGAAGUUUAAACAGGGAUCAAGGCAUGAUGAAGGCACAGCUUAUACUGCAGUUUGAACAAAGAAAGUGGGCCCUGGGAAGUAGGUAGAGAAAUGAGGAUUGGCACUUUGAGACUGUUUACCGUUUGCAUACGAUGCCCUCAUUUCAGGACUGCAUGCAACCCUUCAGGAGCCAAGAUGUGAUGCUUUGAAUAAAAAAGAAAAAACAGCUUAUAAGAAGUGGUUGAAAUCCUGGGCAAUGGUGGCUCAUAACUUUAAUCCCAGCACUUGGGAGGCAGAGGCAGGUGGAUCUCUGAUCCAGUCUGGUCUCCAAAGUAAGUUCCAGGACAGCCAGGUCUACACACAGAAACCCUGUCUCAAAAAAAACAAAAGAAAAAAAGAAAGAAAGAAAAAAAGCAUUGCCAAGUCUAGUGUCACCAGCCUAUCACCCUAGCUUCUUGGGAGGCUAAAGCGCAUGAUUUAUUUUUUAUUUUAUGUCUAUGAGUGUUUUUGUUUGCAGGUAUGUCUGGGUACCAUGUGCUUUCCUAGUGCCAUGAGGUCAGAAGAAGACAUCCCCUGGAACUGGAGUUAACUACUGAGUCAUCUUUUCAGUCACAAAAAUCUUGCAUCUUGUUUUAGAUAAUUAUGCUUUUGUAAAACUUGUUUUUGAUAGAAAAAAUACAUAAGAACAAGUCUAUUAAUCUAUUUUUGGCCAUCUUCUGGAAUUUCUUGCUAAAUCUCCUUUGAAAUGCCACAGUUGUGGUCUUAAACAACUUCUCUUCCUGGUUUUCAAAUUUCUGUUUGUUUGUAAACCAGGGUUUCUCUUUGUAACAACCCUGGCUGCCCUGGUACUUGCUUUGUAUAACAGGCUGGACUUGAACUCACAGAGCUGCACUUGCCUCUGCCUCCUGAGUACUGGGAUUAAAAGUGUGAGCUACUAUGUCCAGCUAAAUCUCUGUUUUUUAUUAUAGCUCUUCAGUCAGGAUGCCAGAUCUUUGUGUUUUAAUGAAACUGGAGAUUGGUACACUUCCCCCAGUUUCCAUUAUUUGGCUUUCCAUUUGAGAAAUUAAUACUAUGCAAUUUUGUAGCGUUUGAACUGAGCAAAAUUAGACUUUUAUUCCUCAAUUUCAUUCCCUCUGUCUAAUAUUGGGAAAACAUUUGUUUUAUUGAAGAAGGUAAAGUUCUAUAGUAUUAGCACAUUUUAGUCACUGAUCCUCCAAACUAACACAAGGGUAGGGAUUUUUCUACAAAUAUGGACUUUGAGAUGUGACACUCUUAGGAAAAAAGGAGGCAUUUUAAUUCAGUUUGGGGAAUACUAAAUGGUAUGUUAUGCCAAAUAAGAUAGCUUAUUUAUAUAAAUAUAACUUAAAUUUUAUUCAAAAUUUUUUUAGAUUUAUUAUUUUAUGAGGAUGUAUGUAUGUCUGUAUCACAUGUUGGUCUGGUGCCCUCAGAGGUCAGAAAAGGGCAUCAAAUCCCCUGGAGCUAGAGUUACAGAUGGUUAUGAGCCACCAUGUGAGUGUUGGGAACUGAACCCUGAUCUUCUGCAAGAAUAACAAGAGCUCUAAACCUCUGAGCCAUCCCUUUUAGCUCUAUACAUUUUUUUUAAAGAAAAUAAUUCAUUGUCCUCACUAAAGAGCCUCAUGAAAUGGAUUUAUGUGAAUAAUUGCCAAAUUUGUCUCUUUAGCCUCAAUUUCACAUAGUCUUAUCUUGGUAAAGCCAAUGAUUUUUUUUUUUUUUUUUUAGGGUUUACUUAUUAUAUGUACAGCUUUCUGUCUGCAUGUAUCCAUGCAAGCAAGAAGAGGGCACAAGAUCUCAUUACAGAUGAUUGUGAGCCACCAUGUGGGUGCUGGGAAUUGAACUCAGGACCUCUGGAAGAUCAACCUCUGAGCCAUCUCUCCAGCCUCAAGCCAAUGACUUUUAAUCAAAGCAUUUUGACUAAAUGCCUAUUGGUUCAAAUGUAAUAUUGUAAAAAAAGGAGCUCACAGUCUUUCAGAUGGUUCCUCAUAAGCUUGUUACCCUUCAGUAAUAUUACCACCAGCGUCCAGAAUAAAAAUAUGAUUUUUAUACUUCCCUUUUAUCUUAGCAAUCAUAUGUUCCACUUUUUUUUUUUUACUUGAAAUGUUACAUUUAUUCUUUUACAAUGAAUUUUCUUUUUGGAUACCAGAUCUCACUAUAUAAUCCAUGUGGGCUUCAAACAUGUGGUACUCCUGCCUGCCUCUCUCCUUCCUAAUGGCUAGGAUUACAGGCAAGCAUCACCGUGCCUCAUGGUCAUUUCCAUUCUUACUGCUACUGUUUGGUUUAGAUUUUCUUCACUCCUAGGUAACAAUAGUCAUGCCAAAUUUCUUUGCCAUAAGACCGAAUUCAGGACAGCUUUGUUGACAUAACCGAGUCCCAGACCAACCAAAGAUAUAAAGUGAAACCCUCUUACCACAAAUUAUAAAACAAAGCCUUUGUGUUUGUGUGUGUGGCAGGGUCUCCUAUAAUCCAGUUCAAACUCAUAUAGCUGAGGAUGAACCAAUCUUCCCUCUACCUUUUCAAGUGCCAGAAUUACAGGCCUAUACCAACACACCCAGUUUUAUAUGGUGGUAGUGAUCAAAC